AUAGGGCUAAUACAUGCCAAUAAGACCCGACUGUUAUGGAAGGGUUGUAUUUAUUAGAUAACAAACCAAUACUCUUCGGAGUUUGCCGGUGAUUCAUAAUAACUUCACGGACCGCAUGACUUGUUCGGCGGCGCUUCAUUCAAAUUUCUGCCCUAUCAACUUUCGAUGGUAGUAUAGAGGACUACCAUGGUUAUAACGGGUAACGGAGAAUUAGGGU
This 217-nucleotide ribosomal RNA is filed under the name Togula jolla. Its description in RNAcentral is "partial Eukaryotic small subunit ribosomal RNA". It matches the Rfam family "Eukaryotic small subunit ribosomal RNA", at positions 158 to 376 of the family's 1831-position model. Lineage: Eukaryota; Dinophyceae; Gymnodiniales; Gymnodiniaceae. The record is from RNAcentral.